RNAcentral lists this ribosomal RNA (465 nucleotides) under uncultured bacterium. RNAcentral describes it as "partial 16S ribosomal RNA". It matches the Rfam family "Bacterial small subunit ribosomal RNA", at positions 28 to 507 of the family's 1533-position model. The record is from RNAcentral.
GAUGAACGCUGGCGGCGUGCUUAACACAUGCAAGUCGAACGGAAAGGCUCCUGCUUGCAGGGGUACUCGAGUGGCGAACGGGUGAGUAACACGUGGGUGAUCUGCCCUGCACUUCGGGAUAAGCCUGGGAAACUGGGUCUAAUACCGGAUAGGACCACAUCUUGGAUGGUGUGGUGGAAAGUUUUUCGGUGUGGGAUGGGCUCGCGGCCUAUCGGCUUGUUGGUGGGGUAAUGGCCUACCAAGGCGUCGACGGGUAGCCGGCCUGGGAGGGUGUCCGGCCAAAUUGGGACGGAGAUACGGCCCAGACUCCUACGGGGGGCAGCGGUGGGGAAUAUUGCAAAAUGGGCGCAAGCCUGAUGCAGCGACGCCGCGUGGGGGAUGACGGCCUUCGGGUUUUAAACUCCUUUCGCUGGGGCCGAAGCGCAAGUGACGGUACCUGGAGAAGAAGCACCGGCUAACUACGUG